RNAcentral lists this long non-coding RNA (205 nucleotides) under Elaeis guineensis (African oil palm). RNAcentral's name for it is "long non-coding RNA (EGUI_LNC064182)". Lineage: Eukaryota; Viridiplantae; Streptophyta; Magnoliopsida; Arecales; Arecaceae. The record is from RNAcentral.
ACUUUCGCUUUCGCCCUUCGUCGUCGCUCUUUUUUAUUUUUUAGUCAUUUCUUUAGCUUCAGUCACGUCGAAUUCCUUUAGAUUUCUGAUAGGAUUCCUCUCUCUUUGCCACGUGUCGAAGUUCGGCCAUCUUUUUCUUUGUUUAGGUAUUUUUACACCUUCAAGCGCGACCCCUCAGCAAAGGACUGGUGGUACUUCUCCCCCC